AUACGGAGGAUGCGAGCGUUAUCCGGAUUUAUUGGGUUUAAAGGGUGCGUAGGCGGGAUUUUAAGUCAGCGGUGAAACGCAAGGGCUCAACCCUUGACCUGCCGUUGAAACUGGAGUUCUUGAAUGCGGAUGCUGUGGGAGGAAUGUGUGGUGUAGCGGUGAAAUGCAUAGAUAUCACACAGAACACCGAUUGCGAAGGCAUCUCACAAAUCCGUGAUUGACGCUGAGGCACGAAAGUGUGGGGAUCAAACAGGAUUAGAUACCCUGGUAGUCCACACUGUAAACGAUGAUAACUCGCUGUCGGCGAUACACAGUCGGUGGCCAAGCGAAAGCGAUAAGUCAUCCACCUGGGGAGUACGUCGGCAACGAUGAAACUCAAAUGAAUUGACGGGG
RNAcentral lists this ribosomal RNA (393 nucleotides) under uncultured bacterium. Its description in RNAcentral is "partial 16S ribosomal RNA". It matches the Rfam family "Bacterial small subunit ribosomal RNA", at positions 523 to 918 of the family's 1533-position model. The record is from RNAcentral.